This is a long non-coding RNA of Anopheles merus, 839 nucleotides long. RefSeq lists it as uncharacterized. The record is from RefSeq and is a predicted model, not a curated record. The transcript has 3 exons. Lineage: Eukaryota; Metazoa; Arthropoda; Insecta; Diptera; Culicidae.
GGGAAAAGAGAGAAACAGCGUGAAUCAAUCAAAGAUAUCCUUGGAUAUUCGGUGGUUUCUGUUUUUCUAUUUGAGAAAAAAAUGGCCGUUUCCUUGCAUUACCCCCUCCCAAACACACAUCAAACGAGCAGCGGAAGAGUUUCGAAGAAAAAAAGGUGACAAGUGUGCGCGAAAGGGAAUUUGUUAAUUUUGUUUCAAAAUCCAGAGAGCGUGCGAAAAAUGCCUCACCAGCCCACGGAAGCCACUGACAGACAAAAGGAAAUGGAACCUGCUUCUCACAGCGCACUGGCUACUAGGAUGCAUGCUGCACGCACUGAAUGACAGUUAUUUCCAACGGAUCGUGAAGCGUUUAAACCGGUGGCCACCCGUCAAUCGUAACCAACGCAACGGAGGCAGAGACCUGCGACGUUUAAAGACCUGCGGGUCCGGCAGCACCGUACCCCCAACGGCUACUGUUCCGGCCAUUUCCACCGUUAGCGUCAGUCCACGGUCGAAAAUCUUACCCGCCCCACAAAUGUACGGCUAAGGGGAACGAACAUGGGAGAAAACGGAUAAAUCACGAAAUCCUAACUUAUUUCAGCAAUCGGUUCAUAUUAAAUUCGACAGAUUCGACACGACAAGGACGACGCAGAGCACUUAAAGGAUCGAUAUGAAUUAUUUACAAUUUUUGGAGAACUUUCUUUUCCGAAAGGCACGGGAUACGCGCAAGGAACGAAGGAAGCAAAAUGGAAGGAGACAUAAGUGUUGUUGUAAGGGUAGGAUGAAUCUCGGUAGAAAUGUCAAUCUUUGGUAGUGUAGCAUGUGUGUUUGAAUAGUCAAUUGAACUAACAAAACAAAAA